Molecule: ribosomal RNA, 502 nt
Filed under: uncultured bacterium
Lineage: Bacteria
Description: partial 16S ribosomal RNA
Rfam family: Bacterial small subunit ribosomal RNA
Source: RNAcentral
AUUGAACGCUGGCGGAAUGCUUUACACAUGCAAGUCGAACGGCAGCACGGGUGCUUGCACCUGGUGGCGAGUGGCGAACGGGUGAGUAAUACAUCGGAACGUACCCAGUUAUGGGGGAUAACUAACCGAAAGGUUAGCUAAUACCGCAUACGCCCUGAGGGGGAAAGCGGGGGACCGUAAGGCCUCGCGUAAUUGGAGCGGCCGAUGUCUGAUUAGCUAGUUGGUGAGGUAAAGGCUCACCAAGGCGACGAUCAGUAGCAGGUCUGAGAGGAUGAUCUGCCACACUGGAACUGAGACACGGUCCAGACUCCUACGGGAGGCAGCAGUGGGGAAUUUUGGACAAUGGGGGAAACCCUGAUCCAGCCAUUCCGCGUGAGUGAAGAAGGCCUUCGGGUUGUAAAGCUCUUUCGGCGGGGAAGAAACGGUCUAGGUUAAUACCUUGGGCUAAUGACGGUACCUGAAGAAGAAGCACCGGCUAACUACGUGCCAGCCGCCGCGGUAA